RNAcentral lists this transfer RNA (89 nucleotides) under Danio rerio (zebrafish). It matches the Rfam family "tRNA". From Rfam's summary of the family: Transfer RNA (tRNA) molecules are approximately 80 nucleotides in length. Their secondary structure includes four short double-helical elements and three loops (D, anti-codon, and T loops). The record is from Rfam by way of RNAcentral. Lineage: Eukaryota; Metazoa; Chordata; Actinopteri; Cypriniformes; Danionidae.
GGCUCUGUGGCGCAAUGGAUAGUGCAUUGGACUUCUAGGCUGUGAGCUGAGCCAUUCAAAGGUUGUGGGUUCGAGUCCCACCAGAGUCA